RNAcentral lists this ribosomal RNA (791 nucleotides) under Streptococcus suis. RNAcentral's name for it is "bacterial SSU rRNA". It matches the Rfam family "Bacterial small subunit ribosomal RNA", at positions 72 to 848 of the family's 1533-position model. Lineage: Bacteria; Bacillati; Bacillota; Bacilli; Lactobacillales; Streptococcaceae. The record is from RNAcentral.
UCUGGUGCUUGCACUAGACGGAUGAGUUGCGAACGGGUGAGUAACGCGUAGGUAACCUGCCUCAUAGCGGGGGAUAACUAUUGGAAACGAUAGCUAAUACCGCAUAACAGUAUUAACCGCAUGGUAGAUACUUGAAAGGAGCAAUUGCUUCACUAUGAGAUGGACCUGCGUUGUAUUAGCUAGUUGGUGAGGUAACGGCUCACCAAGGCAUCGAUACAUAGCCGACCUGAGAGGGUGAUCGGCCACACUGGGACUGAGACACGGCCCAGACUCCUACGGGAGGCAGCAGUAGGGAAUCUUCGGCAAUGGGGGCAACCCUGACCGAGCAACGCCGCGUGAGUGAAGAAGGUUUUCGGAUCGUAAAGCUCUGUUGUAAGAGAAGAACGUGUGUGAGAGUGGAAAGUUCACACAGUGACGGUAUCUUACCAGAAAGGGACGGCUAACUACGUGCCAGCAGCCGCGGUAAUACGUAGGUCCCGAGCGUUGUCCGGAUUUAUUGGGCGUAAAGCGAGCGCAGGCGGUUUGAUAAGUCUGAAGUAAAAGGCUGUGGCUUAACCAUAGUACGCUUUGGAAACUGUCAAACUUGAGUGCAGAAGGGGAGAGUGGAAUUCCAUGUGUAGCGGUGAAAUGCGUAGAUAUAUGGAGGAACACCGGUGGCGAAAGCGGCUCUCUGGUCUGUAACUGACGCUGAGGCUCGAAAGCGUGGGGAGCGAACAGGAUUAGAUACCCUGGUAGUCCACGCCGUAAACGAUGAGUGCUAGGUGUUGGGUCCUUUCCGGGACUCAGUGCCG